This 430-nucleotide ribosomal RNA is filed under the name uncultured archaeon. Its description in RNAcentral is "bacterial SSU rRNA". It matches the Rfam family "Archaeal small subunit ribosomal RNA", at positions 474 to 903 of the family's 1478-position model. The record is from RNAcentral.
CACCAGCCCCUCGAGUGGUGGGGAUGAUUAUUUGGCCUAAAGCGUCCGUAGCCGGCCGGGUAAGUUUCCCGUUAAAUCCAGCGUCUCAAGCGUUGGACUGCGGGAAAUACUGCCUGGCUAGAGAGUGGGAGAGGUCAGCGGUAUUCUGGGGGUAGGGGCGAAAUCCUUUGAUCCCCGGAGGACCACCAGUGGCGAAGGCUGCUGACUAGAACACGUCUGACGGUCAGGGGACGAAAGCUGGGGUAGCGAACCGGAUUAGAUACCCGGGUAGUCCCAGCCGUAAACGAUGCAUGCUAGGUGUUGGGUUGGCCACGAGCCACCCCAGUGCCGCAGGGAAGCCGUUAAGCAUGCCGCCUGGGAAGUACGAUCGCAAGAUUGAAACUUAAAGGAAUUGGCGGGGGAGCACCACCAGGCGUGAAGCCUGCGGUUU